This 494-nucleotide ribosomal RNA is filed under the name Hyperolius ocellatus (golden-eyed reed frog). RNAcentral describes it as "partial 16S ribosomal RNA". It matches the Rfam family "Bacterial large subunit ribosomal RNA", at positions 1809 to 2537 of the family's 2925-position model. Lineage: Eukaryota; Metazoa; Chordata; Amphibia; Anura; Hyperoliidae. The record is from RNAcentral.
AAAAACAUCGCCUCUUGCUUAAAUAUAAGAGGUCCCGCCUGCCCAGUGGUUUAGUUUAACGGCCGCGGUAUCUUGACCGUGCAAAGGUAGCACAAUCAAUUGUCCCCUAAAUAGGAACUAGAAUGAACGGCAUCACGAGGGUUUGACUGUCUCCCUACUUUAAUCAAUAAAAUUGAUUUUCCCGUGAAGAAGCGGGAAUAUAAAUAUAAGACGAAAAGACCCCAUGGAGCUUUAAACUUAUCAUCACUUAUCAAAAUUUUAAAACACCACUGAUAAAUAUGAGUGAUAGUUUUCGGUUGGGGCGACCCUGGAGAAAAACAAAUCCUCCAAGCUGUAAAAUAAAAAUAUGCUAGAGCAACAACUCAAACAAUCAAAACCUUGACAAAAUGACCCAGAAUAUAUCUGAUCAACGAACCAAGUUACCCUGGGGAUAACAGCGCAAUCCAUUUCAAGAGCCCCUAUCGACAAAUGGGUUUACGACCUCGAUGUUGGAU